AACCUUAUGGACCUGCGGGCGUAUACCUGCGGAAGGAUCAUUACCGAGUUUACAAACUCCCAACCCUAUGUGAACCUACCUAUCGUUGCUUCGGCGGGCUUAGCCCCCGCGCCCUCGCCGGCGCCGGGAAACAGGCGCCCGCCGGAGACCCAAACUCAAUGUUUUUCAUGCAGUAUUAUUCUGAGUGGCAAACGCAAAAAUAAAUCAAAACUUUCAACAACGGAUCUCAGAUCGGAAGAG
Molecule: unclassified non-coding RNA, 240 nt
Filed under: soil metagenome
Description: partial contains 5.8S ribosomal RNA, internal transcribed spacer 2, and large subunit ribosomal RNA
Source: RNAcentral